GAUCCCCUUUUAUUUAGGAAAUAGCAGAAAUGUCAUACCGAGUAGGGUUUGGAAGAACGAUAUUUCCAUUUUUCCUUUAAAAAUUAGACUAUAGUAUUACUCCGUGCAAUAAUCAACUAUGUCAACAAAAGUGCCAAAAAAAGUUAUAUGAUAUUGUUGCACAAGAGUCACCUGGUGUAAUAAUCGGCUGGGUUGAAAAAGGUGACAAAUAUAGCUCAACGGGCUGUUUGGUGCCGGACUAACCGAUGCAAGAGACUAUCCUGAAAGGAGAUAAGCAACAAAGGGAGUCCAAGGCCCAGUCUGGAAGCAGAACAAUCUUGGUCCCUUAUCCCACCUUGAUUCAUUGAUAAAUGUCAACCAUGGUAUUUGACGCUUGGAACCACCGAUCCCCCAGACACUUCAAGCAAACGUACAAAAAUCUAAAAGUCAUUUCUGAACGGGACUCCUGCUACUAAUAGAGUCUAUCAAUCCUGUGACUUUAAAAAAAAUAAACAAAAAAA
Molecule: long non-coding RNA, 500 nt
Filed under: Phoenix dactylifera (date palm)
Lineage: Eukaryota; Viridiplantae; Streptophyta; Magnoliopsida; Arecales; Arecaceae
Description: long non-coding RNA (PDAC_LNC006234)
Source: RNAcentral